CACAAACCUAUGAAACCUGUUUAGAAUGUUGAAUCAGGUCCUUUUGUACCUAUAAAGUUAAAUAUACAACUUUCAGCAACGGAUCUCUUGGCUCUCGCAUCGAUGAAGAACGCAGCGAAAUGCGAUAAGUAAUGUGAAUUGCAGAAUUCAGUGAAUCAUCGAAUCUUUGAACGCAUCUUGCGCUCCUUGGUAUUCCGAGGAGCAUGCCUGUUUGAGUGUCAUCUAAGUCCUCAAGCCACAUUGAUUGUUUUCGGUGUGGCUUGGAUGUGGGGGUUUCUUUUUUGCAGGCUUUAGAAAUGAAGUCCGCUCCCCUGAAAUGCAUUAGUGGUAUCUGAGCAGAAGAACUACUACAGGUGUGAUAAUAUAUCUAUGCCUUGGUAAUGCUGCAUGGACAGAUUGCGCCGCUUCCAACAAGAAUUUAUUAUUUUUGGAGACCUCAAAUCAGGUAGG
RNAcentral lists this ribosomal RNA (450 nucleotides) under Pseudosperma sororium. RNAcentral's name for it is "eukaryotic LSU rRNA". The stretch from base 68 to 221 matches the Rfam family "5.8S ribosomal RNA". Lineage: Eukaryota; Fungi; Basidiomycota; Agaricomycetes; Agaricales; Inocybaceae. The record is from RNAcentral.